CAUAGGUUAAUGAGGCGAACCGGGGGAACUGAAACAUCUAAGUACCCCGAGGAAAAGAAAUCAACCGAGAUUCCCCCAGUAGCGGCGAGCGAACGGGGAGCAGCCCAGAGCCUGAAUCAGUGUGUGUGUUAGUGGAAGCGUCUGGAAAGGCGCGCGAUACAGGGUGACAGCCCCGUACACAAAAAUGCACAUGCUGUGAGCUCGAUGAGUAGGGCGGGACACGUGGUAUCCUGUCUGAAUAUGGGGGGACCAUCCUCCAAGGCUAAAUACUCCUGACUGACCGAUAGUGAACCAGUACCGUGAGGGAAAGGCGAAAAGAACCCCGGCGAGGGGAGUGAAAAAGAACCUGAAACCGUGUACGUACAAGCAGUGGGAGCACAGAGCAAUCUGUGUGACUGCGUACCUUUUGUAUAAUGGGUCAGCGACUUAUAUUCUGUAGCAAGGUUAACCGAAUAGGGGAGCCGAAGGGAAACCGAGUCUUAACUGGGCGUUAAGUUGCAGGGUAUAGACCCGAAACCCGGUGAUCUAGCCAUGGGCAGGUUGAAGGUUGGGUAACACUAACUGGAGGACCGAACCGACUAAUGUUGAAAAAUUAGCGGAUGACUUGUGGCUGGGGGUGAAAGGCCAAUCAAACCGGGAGAUAGCUGGUUCUCCCCGAAAGCUAUUUAGGUAGCGCCUCGUGAAUUCAUCUCCGGGGGUAGAGCACUGUUUCGGCAAGGGGGUCAUCCCGACUUACCAACCCGAUGCAAACUGCGAAUACCGGAGAAUGUUAUCACGGGAGACACACGGCGGGUGCUAACGUCCGUCGUGAAGAGGGAAACAACCCAGACCGCCAGCUAAGGUCCCAAAGUCAUGGUUAAGUGGGAAACGAUGUGGGAAGGCCCAGACAGCCAGGAUGUUGGCUUAGAAGCAGCCAUCAUUUAAAGAAAGCGUAAUAGCUCACUGGUCGAGUCGGCCUGCGCGGAA
Molecule: ribosomal RNA, 966 nt
Filed under: Escherichia coli
Lineage: Bacteria; Pseudomonadati; Pseudomonadota; Gammaproteobacteria; Enterobacterales; Enterobacteriaceae
Description: partial 23S ribosomal RNA
Rfam family: Bacterial large subunit ribosomal RNA
Source: RNAcentral